AGAGUUUGAUCCUGGCUCAGGGUGAACGCUAGCUACAGGCUUAACACAUGCAAGUCGAGGGGAAACGAUAUUGGAAGCUUGCUUCCGAUAGGCGUCGACCGGCGCACGGGUGAGUAACGCGUAUCCAACCUGCCCACCACUUGGGGAUAACCUUGCGAAAGUAAGACUAAUACCCAAUGACGUCUCUAGAAGACAUCUGAAAGAGAUUAAAGAUUUAUCGGUGAUGGAUGGGGAUGCGUCUGAUUAGCUUGUUGGCGGGGUAACGGCCCACAAGGCUACGAUCAGUAGGGGUUCUGAGAGGAAGGUCCCCCANAUUGGAACUGAGACACGGUCCAAACUCCUACGGGAGGCA
Molecule: ribosomal RNA, 352 nt
Filed under: uncultured bacterium
Lineage: Bacteria
Description: bacterial SSU rRNA
Rfam family: Bacterial small subunit ribosomal RNA
Source: RNAcentral